This 138-nucleotide ribosomal RNA is filed under the name uncultured eukaryote. RNAcentral describes it as "partial 18S ribosomal RNA". It matches the Rfam family "Eukaryotic small subunit ribosomal RNA", at positions 1299 to 1458 of the family's 1831-position model. The record is from RNAcentral.
UGGUGGAGUGAUUUGUCUGGUUAAUUCCGAUAACGAACGAGACCUUAACCUGCUAAAUAGCCAGGCCGGCUUCUGCUGGUCGCAGGCUUCUUAGAGGGACUGUCAGCGUCUAGCUGACGGAAGUUUGAGGCAAUAACA